Molecule: ribosomal RNA, 254 nt
Filed under: uncultured bacterium
Lineage: Bacteria
Description: partial 16S ribosomal RNA
Rfam family: Bacterial small subunit ribosomal RNA
Source: RNAcentral
UACGGGGGGAGCAAGCGUUGUUCGGAUUUACUGGGCGUAAAGGGCGCGUAGGCGGUCGUGACAAGUCACUUGUGAAAUCUCCGGGCUUAACUCGGAACGGUCAAGUGAUACUGUCGGACUAGAGUACAGAAGGGGCAACUGGAAUUCUCGGUGUAGCGGUGAAAUGCGUAGAUAUCGAGAGGAACACCUAUGGCGAAGGCAGCUCGCUGGGACGUUACUGACGCUGAGACGCGAAAGCGUGGGGAGCAAACAGG